CUGGGGGGGGGCCUAAUACAUGCAGUCGAGCGAAUCUUUGGGAGCUUGCUCCCAAGGGUGAGCGGCGGACGGGUGAGUAACACGUGGGCAACCUGCCUGUAAGACUGGGAUAACUUCGGGAAACCGGAGCUAAUACCGGAUAAUUCAUAUUCCUCUCAUGAGGAAAUGCUGAAAGACGGUUUCGGCUGUCACUUACAGAUGGGCCCGCGGGGCAUUAGCUAGUUGGUGAGGUAACGGCUCACCAAGGCGACCAUGCGUAGCCGACCUGAGAGGGUGAUCGGCCACACUGGGACUGAGACACGGGCCAGACUCCUACGGGAGGCAGCAGUAGGGAAUCUUCCACAAUGGACGAAAGUCUGAUGGAGCAACGCCGCGUGAGCGAUGAAGGCCUUCGGGUCGUAAAGCUCUGUUGUUAGGGAAGAACAAGUACCGGAGUAACUGCCGGUACCUUGACGGUACCUAACCAGAAAGCCACGGCUAACUACGUGCCAGCAGCCGCGGUAAUACGUAGGUGGCAAGCGUUGUCCGGAAUUAUUGGGCGUAAAGCGCGCGCAGGCGGUCCUUUAAGUCUGAUGUGAAAGCCCACGGCUCAACCGUGGAGGGUCAUUGGAAACUGGGGGACUUGAGUG
This 629-nucleotide ribosomal RNA is filed under the name Bacillus sp. IDA0061. Its description in RNAcentral is "bacterial SSU rRNA". It matches the Rfam family "Bacterial small subunit ribosomal RNA", at positions 36 to 648 of the family's 1533-position model. Lineage: Bacteria; Bacillati; Bacillota; Bacilli; Caryophanales; Bacillaceae. The record is from RNAcentral.